RNAcentral lists this ribosomal RNA (491 nucleotides) under uncultured bacterium. RNAcentral describes it as "bacterial SSU rRNA". It matches the Rfam family "Bacterial small subunit ribosomal RNA", at positions 28 to 478 of the family's 1533-position model. The record is from RNAcentral.
GACGAACGCUGGCGGCGUGCCUAAUACAUGCAAGUCGAACGCACUCUCGUUUAGAUUGAAGGAGCUCGCUCCUGAUUGAUAAACAUUUGAGUGAGUGGCGGACGGGUGAGUAACACGUGGGUAACCUGCCCUAAAGUGGGGGAUAACAUUUGGAAACAGAUGCUAAUACCGCAUAAAACCUAAACACCGCAUGGUGUAGGGUUGAAAGAUGGUUUCGGCUAUCACUUUAGGAUGGACCCGCGGUGCAUUAGUUAGUUGGUGAGGUAAAGGCUCACCAAGACCGUGAUGCAUAGCCGACCUGAGAGGGUAAUCGGCCACACUGGGACUGAGACACGGCCCAGACUCCUACGGGAGGCAGCAGUAGGGAAUCUUCCACAAUGGACGAAAGUCUGAUGGAGCAACGCCGCGUGAGUGAAGAAGGUUUCGGAUCGUAAAACUCUGUUGUUGGAGAAGAAUGUAUCUGAUAGUAACUGAUCAGGUAGUGACGGUAU